This is a long non-coding RNA of Priapulus caudatus, 429 nucleotides long. RefSeq lists it as uncharacterized. The transcript has 3 exons. Lineage: Eukaryota; Metazoa; Priapulida; Priapulimorpha; Priapulimorphida; Priapulidae. The record is from RefSeq and is a predicted model, not a curated record.
CGACUGCAGCGCUACUGAGCCGCGUGGCUGAACGUGGGUUCUGCUACUCUGUGAUCGUCGUCGCUAUCCGUUUGAUCCUCUAUUCGCUGGAUUAGAACGUGUCACAAGACCGCGAACAUCUCCCACCCACCCUCAUCUCUGCCGUCGGCCUCCUCUGCCUCUGUCUGUUCUGCUUCGUGUUUUCGAUGCAUCCCACGCUCCGGGUGAACUGGAGGCCCCAUAACUAUGGGGUCUGGCGCUACAGUUUUUAUCUUCGGGUGCUUGAUUCUGCGCACAAGUGUCGGACGGCAGGUGCAGAAUUGCACGUGGCUGCGGAGAUAAGGUGACCAUCUUCCUUAACUUCACCGACCGCUGGCGCCAAGUUCGUGCUGGACAGUACGAGAUAGACCAGUGCGGCAACGUCGUGCAGUCCUCAAGAUCUUGCGUUUU